CAUUUUCUACUCCCAUGGGGCUCCUGAGGUCAUCUUGACAGACCAGGGUUGUGAAUUCUGGAACAAGGUAAACAAGUCCAUGUUUGAGGAGUUUGGUGUCAAGCACCGAAUCACAUCAGCAUACCAUCCUCAGACCAACGGACUGGAUGAGAGGACCAAUCAAACAUUGAAGAGGUCCAUUGGCAAGACCCUUGAUGGACAACAGGAGAGGUGGGAAGACAAAUUAAAAGAAAUAGUUUUUUUCAAAUAACUGUUGUGUCCAAGCCUCUUCCAGGUAUUCGCCCUAUCGUCUGAUGUAUGGACGGGAGCCACGUCUGUUUUCAGAGGUGUGUAGUGGUUGACUUUUUCAUAUUACCAUAUUAACAAUUUUGCACAAGGCUCUCACGCUGACCUGCACUGUCAGCUUGUCUUUAUUGGACACUGAAUGAAAUAACACAUACAAAUUCAUUAAGCUUCAAUUGUUCUGGGUUACUCCAUCAUCACAUCUAUAACAUGUUACUACAUGGAAAGAAACGUUAGGUAGCUAAGUAAUGUUACUUUUAUGUACGCAAAACCGUGGCUAUAAAUUAAACUAUUAUUACUCAACACAACAGGCAAACAUCAAGGCUGAUAUAAAACACUGGUUAAGAAAUCUUGUUGGAAUUUGCUGUUUCUGCAUCGUAAUACACGUUAGAAAGUGACAGUUAACUGACAGACUAGACUUUGACAGUAGCUAGCGUCUGUUAGACGUAGUUUUCUUACCUUCGUAGCUGUGAAUAUAGGUCACAGCAUACAGCCUAAACCCCUUCUCCAAUUUGCUGGUCGGAGUUUUCGUUUCCCUACAUAAUCGAUGUACAUCAGUGAUGUUUAUUGUCGGCAGCUCUUGUAAACACAGGGUGUAGAACGUUGCCAUAUUUGACCGGAAGCUGUGAAGCUGUAUUACGGCGAAUCAGGAAGUGCUUGUGCAAGUAGCUACUUAAAAGUUAUUUGAUUCAGAAAAUGUAUAGGAAUAUUCCUAUUUUUCACCUCCCAUACGAAAACAUUGUUAAUCAACCCACUUUUGAAAAAAAAUUAGCCAGCCGUAAUUUUGUCGGCUUUCAUUUUUUGUGCGGUAUAAGGUGACGGAUUCUCUAUAAGAUAAAUGUAAAUAUCUCCAAACUCCAUGUCUGGUCGAGACGUUGCCAACUUCAAAGCAAUGAACACAUCAGCGGGUGCUGUGUAUGGAUUACAAGUUCCGAGUAUGUAUAUCUUUUCUUAAUAUCUAAUUUGAACAUUUAUGGUCUAAAUAGAUAGAUUGUAGUGUUGUAAAUCUGCAAGGCUGAAAUUCCUCUGGCUGGCCGCUGUUCGUCGCCAUUUUGUCGGCGUCUGUUGCCCUCCAGGUAGCCAUGGUAGUCACGUGACUGCAAAGUAUGAAUAUGCAACAGGUGUGCAGCCUCACCCAGCCCGAGUCCAGUCAGACUUGGCCAGCUGAGGCUGCUUAAACCCAUCAUCCACACAAAAGCCAUCAUCCACACAGACUACAACACUAAUCUAAUCUGAAUCCACCAACCAAAUGUCAGAUCAUCUAAACUCAAACUGUCUGAAAUAAUUAAUAAUUUUAAAUGAUGCAAUUAAACGGAAGAUCUGUAGCCUUUUUUAAC
Gadus macrocephalus (Pacific cod) is the source of this 1619-nucleotide long non-coding RNA. RefSeq lists it as uncharacterized. NCBI's taxonomy places the organism in Eukaryota, Metazoa, Chordata, Actinopteri, Gadiformes, Gadidae. The record is from RefSeq and is a predicted model, not a curated record. The transcript is spliced from 3 exons.